This 253-nucleotide ribosomal RNA is filed under the name uncultured bacterium. Its description in RNAcentral is "partial 16S ribosomal RNA". It matches the Rfam family "Bacterial small subunit ribosomal RNA", at positions 524 to 776 of the family's 1533-position model. The record is from RNAcentral.
UACGUAGGGUGCAAGCGUUGUCCGGAAUUAUUGGGCGUAAAGAGCUCGUAGGCGGUUUGUCGCGUCUGGUGUGAAAAUCCAGGGCUUAACCCUGGACCUGCGUUCGAUACGGGCAGACUAGAGUUCGGUAGGGGAGACUGGAAUUCCUGGUGUAGCGGUGAAAUGCGCAGAUAUCAGGAGGAACACCGGUGGCGAAGGCGGGUCUCUGGGCCGAUACUGACGCUGAGGAGCGAAAGCGUGGGGAGCGAACAGG